UACGGGGGGGCAAGCGUUGUUCGGAAUUACUGGGCGUAAAGGGCUCGUAGGCGGCCAACUAAGUCAUACGUGAAAUCCCUCGGCUUAACCGGGGAACUGCGUCUGAUACUGGAUGGCUUGAGUUCGGGAGAGGGAUGCGGAAUUCCAGGUGUAGCGGUGAGAUGCGUAGAUAUCUGGAGGAACACCGGUGGCGAAGGCGGCAUUCUGGACCAUAACUGACACUGAGAGACGAAAGCCAGGGGAGCAAACGG
Molecule: ribosomal RNA, 251 nt
Filed under: uncultured bacterium
Lineage: Bacteria
Description: partial 16S ribosomal RNA
Rfam family: Bacterial small subunit ribosomal RNA
Source: RNAcentral